Long non-coding RNA from Gasterosteus aculeatus aculeatus (three-spined stickleback), 1493 nucleotides. NCBI's taxonomy places the organism in Eukaryota, Metazoa, Chordata, Actinopteri, Perciformes, Gasterosteidae. The record is from Ensembl.
CAAGCGUCUUGAAUAUUUUAGUGCUGUUCUGAUUCGGGGAAAGCCAACAAGAUGAAUCUCACGGAAGUCUUUUCCCUCCGGUGUGGAGUGUUUUCAAUGAAUAGGUGAGAUGGUAGUUUUGUCACGAGAGGAUUCUGAAAGAAAAGCCUAAAUCGCACAUCGCUCUCCAACAGACGACAAAAAAUCUGCCCGGCAGCUACUUUGCAAUCAAUUAUAAACCGUGAACAUUGUUUCUCAAACCUGUAAAUUGGCAGCUAACACGAUGAUGUCAAAUCUAAGAGCGUAGAGUGUUGAGGGACGCUGCCAGGUGUGAAGUGGGUGUAGGAGCGUAGCUGGGGAAAUCUUUACAUCAAAUUCAGAGAUCAGCAGAUGGUGGUUUCCAUGUUCAUUGCAAAAAAAGUCGACAUCCCUUGUGCUUCAGCGAGCUCGAUGUAGAAGUGGAUAUUUUGGCGUGUUGAUGUACAAAUGGAAGGGCGAGACAUUGUCCAAAAAGCCCCACAACGGAGACAAUUUGGAUGUGAGAUGAGAUGCUUCGGCUCAGUGAACAGACAUGGCCUCGUUGUGGAACAACCACACGCACUUACCCAACUAGAGGGGUCAGCUCAGAGGACGAGAACACGGAGCCAACCUUCACUCGACCCGACGGACCAACGAGCUGAAUUAGAAAUGUUUCGGCUGCUCGGCCCUGCUGGACCACGGGACGUCUAAGCGAGUCUGCUGUUACACAGUGUGACAGCUGGACUGAUGCGAUCAGACUUGUUUUGAUGCAGUAAACCGCGCGCGUCAGAGACCAGAGACCAGGAAAUGUUAGAAACAAUUUGUCACGACCCAAAUAUACCUUCUGAUUCAGGUUUUUUUUCAUUCCACUCCAGUGAACUACUGGGUCACCGUCGCUAAUAAUGUGGGAUGAGACAGACCUCCGUGAGGACACGGCUCCUUCAGCAUCAACAGCGUUGUAAAAAUAGCAUUGAUUUCCUCCAAACAUUUACACACCAUAUGUGUGAAUAAUCUGUGGGACUGCUCCGGGUGAUAGUUUGAGAUAUAGAGGCAAUUACACAGUAAUAGAUUCAAUCUCAGGCCAAGACAAACAUAAUUGGAGGGGGAGCGCUCGCCUACAGGCCAGAAUAUGGUAUAUUGUCACUGUGAUUAUAGGCACUUGGCGCAGCGUGGUGCUGUUAGCAAUUUAAAAUCAGCACAUGAAUAGCGGACAUUAAAUAAAACGCUUUAGAUCAAGGCUCUGAUUGCACCGACCCGUUUGUGCCAAUUUAAAAACACCCAAUCCGUUUUCCCGGCCUGGCCGGUCGUUGGUGAUAUGAAAGAAGAAAAGGGGGAGGAAAAAAAAAAAUGAAAAAGCAAUCCGCCCGAUGCCGUUUGGUCCCAAAUGCAAAUGUGAUAAUGUGGAUACCCUAAAGAAGAUGAGGCACUCAAAGGAAACAAACGCCGAGUGAACAGAGUGCACGUGUAGAAUUUAUACGACAGGUCAAGCGUGGACG